CUCGAACUCCUGACCUCAGGUGAUCUGCUGGCCUCGGCUUCCCUAAGUGCUGAGAUUACAGGCGUGAGCCACUGCUCCUGGCCAAAUAUGCAUGUCUAAUAAGUUCCCAGAUGUUGUUGACACCACUGGUCCAGGAAUCGCGGCAGUGAGAACCACUGAUUUAGUCCAAUCUCUGCAUCUUACAGAAAGGGAAAUGGAGACACAGAGAACAGAAGCAGCCUGUCCUAGUUACUCAAAGUGUGGGCAGAGGAAUGACUGGAUGCCCUGCCUCCAGACUCACGCUGAGUCCCACCCCGAACCACACUGCAGUGCCACCCUGCCACCUCUUGGACAGAGUGCCCCAGGAGCAGCCCCAGAAGAAAGCCUCAGGAGGCCAGCAUGUCUCUGGGCAACAGAACAAACCGCCGACUGGCCUGGGAGGGCAGGCUUCCAAGGGUCCUCGUGGCUACCCAGCCCAUCUGCUCAGCCAACUGCUUGCAUCUGGGAACUCCAGUUUAAUCAUGAAAAAAACAUCUGACAAACCCAAAUGGAGGAACACCCACAAAAUGCCUCGUCACUGCUUUUCAAAAGGGCCAAGGUCAUGAAAACCGAGAAAGAACUGAGAAACCAUCUCACAUCGGAGGAGGCACGAUGGCUAAAUGCACCCCGGUCGCCCUGGACUGGAUCCGGAAAUAGUAAAAGUGCAUUAGUGGAAAACUG
Molecule: long non-coding RNA, 699 nt
Filed under: Homo sapiens (human)
Lineage: Eukaryota; Metazoa; Chordata; Mammalia; Primates; Hominidae
Description: non-protein coding lnc-CYS1-1:16
Source: RNAcentral